RNAcentral lists this microRNA precursor (90 nucleotides) under Cricetulus griseus (Chinese hamster). The record is from RNAcentral. Lineage: Eukaryota; Metazoa; Chordata; Mammalia; Rodentia; Cricetidae.
UCCCGAAAUCAAGUGUUCGAACGGAGGUUGUCCAUGGUGUGUUCAUUUUAUUUAUGAUGAGUAUUACAUGGCCAAUCUCCUUUCGGCACU